AGUGAACGCUGGCGGUAGGCCUAACACAUGCAAGUCGAACGAGUGGCGGACGGGUGAGGAAUACAUCGGAAUCUACUCUGUCGUGGGGGAUAACGUAGGGAAACUUACGCUCAUACCGCAUACGAUUGAAUGAGCCGCUGUGGGAUUAGCUAGUUGGCGGGGUAAAGGCCCACCAAGGCGACGAUCCGUAGCGGGUCUGAGAGGAUGAUGAGCCACAGUGUAACUGAGACACGGUGCAGACUCCUACGUGAGGCAGCAGUGGGGGAUAUUGGACCACGGGCGCCAGACUGAUCCAGCCAUACCGCGUGGGGGAAGAAGGCCUUCGGGUUGUAGAGCCCUUUUGUUGGGAAAGCGGUACCCAAAGAAUAAGCACCGGCUAACUUCGUGCCAGCCGCCGCGGCAAUAC
RNAcentral lists this ribosomal RNA (406 nucleotides) under uncultured bacterium. Its description in RNAcentral is "partial 16S ribosomal RNA". It matches the Rfam family "Bacterial small subunit ribosomal RNA", at positions 29 to 526 of the family's 1533-position model. The record is from RNAcentral.